Molecule: ribosomal RNA, 250 nt
Filed under: uncultured bacterium
Lineage: Bacteria
Description: partial 16S ribosomal RNA
Rfam family: Bacterial small subunit ribosomal RNA
Source: RNAcentral
GGACGAAUAUUCCGCAAUGGGCGAAAGCCUGACGGAGCAAUGCCGCGUGUGGGAUGAAGCGCCUUCGGCGUGUAAACCACUGUCAGGUCCUAGGAACACUGACCGGGACCAGAGGAAGGGCCGGCUAACCUCGUGCCAGCAGCCGCGGUAAUACGAGGGGCCCAAGCGUUAAUCGGAAUCACUGGGCUUAAAGGGUGCGCAGGCGGACCCGAAAGCAUCUCGUGAAAGCCCCCGGCUCAACCGGGGAACA